RNAcentral lists this ribosomal RNA (467 nucleotides) under uncultured bacterium. RNAcentral's name for it is "partial 16S ribosomal RNA". It matches the Rfam family "Bacterial small subunit ribosomal RNA", at positions 28 to 507 of the family's 1533-position model. The record is from RNAcentral.
GAUGAACGCUGGCGGCGUGCUUAACACAUGCAAGUCGAACGGAAAGGCCUCUGCUUGCAGGGGUACUCGAGUGGCGAACGGGUGAGUAACACGUGGGUGAUCUGCCCUGCACUUCGGGAUAAGCCUGGGAAACUGGGUCUAAUACCGGAUAGGACAAUGGUUUGGAUGCUGUUGUGGAAAGUUUUUCGGUGUGGGAUGAGCUCGCGGCCUAUCAGCUUGUUGGUGGGGUAAUGGCCUACCAAGGCGUCGACGGGUAGCCGGCCUGAGAGGGUGUACGGCCACAUUGGGACUGGGAUACGGCCCAGACUCCUACGGGAGGCAGCAGUGGGGAAUAUUGCACAAUGGGCGCAAGCCUGAUGCAGCGACGCCGCGUGGGGGAUGACGGCCUUCGGGUUGUAAACUCCUUUCGCUAGGGACGAAGCGUUUUUGUGACGGUACCUGGAGAAGAAGCACCGGCUAACUACGUG